UUUUCACUGGAUGCCUGUCAAUCGGUAAGAAAAGAUUGAAAUUUGUUCAGCGUUUUUAAGUUUAGCGUCACUUUUGCACGAGACUUGCUGUUCAGAAGACAUGGCUGGGUAAUAGCAAAUUGCAGAUCAUGGAAACAGAGGGCCUGAACAACAGGAGUGACAAUAUGAGCGAUUGAUGGCCUGGUGAUGUACUACCUUCAAAACUUAGGUGGUUCUAUUGAGGAGGCCUCCACGUGGCAGAACUGGUAACAGCUUACCGUAUUUAUCCGCAAAUAAACCCAUGCCCAAUAAUUAGCCCCCUCAUUUUUGCAUAACCAUUGAUUUUAGCAAAAAAUUAGACCUCCUCCAACUUUGAUACUAAACUUUAACACUAUGGGAAGGGAUUUAUUGAAGGAUAAAUACGACACGCAUAAAUGUAUGUUUAUGUGGGCUGGCUAACAUCCUCUUACAUGUCUCCCCUUUAAAUGUAGGGAAAUAUAUUGUCUUUGCAUUGGUUCUUCAGAUUUCCAAGGGGGAGUCAUGAUUAUCUUAGGGCUGCGAUAGCUCGGAGUGCCGGCCAUGUUAUCCGAGGUGAUGAUCCGAGGUGCGUGGUUCGACACUCCCUACCCAUGUUGGUUCAUGUUUCUUUGGAAGCUGAGAAACAGGCCAGCUAGUACUGUCGUGGUUGUGUCCUUGGGCAAGACACUUUACCCUAAUUGCUCUGGAUGGCAUGCGACGGGCCUCCCGUAUGUUGUUCAGUGAGGUAGUCACCAACUACUACAAGGAGACCCCGCCUCAAUGAUCCUGGUUGUUCACGAGGCGAUAAACCCAACAAAUAUGAUUAUCUUUAAACAAAUAUCUAGUUUGAAUGUCAGUUUCCACUUUUGUAUGUUCAGGUUUGAAAUGGUAGUUAUAUUUUAUAAGUUUAUCUUGUCAGUGGAACAAAUAGUCAAUAAGAUAUAAAGAGAAGAAAAGUACAGAAAUGUUCCAAUAUACAUAGAAUACAGGAUACUUAUCUGGAUACUUAGGUCUAGUAGAAUAGAUUAAUAAAAACAAGAACAUUCAACUUAUUUAAUAUUGAAACUGUGUCUUACAUGUUGGUCAGUUUUAUUAUACAAUUUUAUUUUUAUAGGUCCCCAAGUAGAGCCAGACUGUUUGAUUGUUCACCCUUACAGACCAAACAAUCCAUUUUGGUAAAGACCAUUCCACUGGCCCAUGGAGAAGCAUAUUUAGUGUAAAAAAUUGGUCAGCUUGACUUUACAAGAUGGUGUAAAAUUGCUUAAGGUGCCCCUGGAAUUUUUCAGGGUAAUAAAUAGA
Long non-coding RNA from Pecten maximus, 1296 nucleotides. RefSeq lists it as uncharacterized. NCBI's taxonomy places the organism in Eukaryota, Metazoa, Mollusca, Bivalvia, Pectinida, Pectinidae. The record is from RefSeq and is a predicted model, not a curated record. The transcript is spliced from 3 exons.